Molecule: transfer RNA, 65 nt
Filed under: Proegmena sp. BMNH 846583
Lineage: Eukaryota; Metazoa; Arthropoda; Insecta; Coleoptera; Chrysomelidae
Description: tRNA-Ile
Source: RNAcentral
UAUGAAGUGCCUGAAAUGAAAGGAUAACUUUGAUAGAGUUGGUCAUGUGUGUUACACCUUCAUAA